Molecule: ribosomal RNA, 253 nt
Filed under: uncultured bacterium
Lineage: Bacteria
Description: partial 16S ribosomal RNA
Rfam family: Bacterial small subunit ribosomal RNA
Source: RNAcentral
UACAGAGGGUGCGAGCGUUGUUCUGAAUUAUUGGGCGUAAAGGGCGCGUAGGCGGUGCGGUAAGUCACCUGUGAAAUCUCCUGGCUCAACUGGGAGCUUGCAGGCGAAACUGCCGUGCUGGAGUGUGGGAGAGGUGAGUGGAAUUCCCGGUGUAGCGGUGAAAUGCGUAGAUAUCUGGAGGAACACCGGUGGCGAAGGCGGCAUCCUGAACCAACACUGACGCUGAGGAGCGAAAGCCAGGGGAGCAAACGGG